AUUGAACGCUGGCGGCAUGCCUUACACAUGCAAGUCGAACGGCAGCACGGGUGCUUGCACCUGGUGGCGAGUGGCGAACGGGUGAGUAAUACAUCGGAACGUACCUUAUCGUGGGGGAUAACGCAGCGAAAGCGUUGCAAAUACUGAAUACGCACGGCGGGGGAAAGCGAGGGAUCGAAGGACCUCGCGCGAUUAGAGCGGCCGAUGCCUGAUUAGCUUGUUGGUGGGGUAAAAGCCCACCAAGGCGACGAUCAGUAGCUGGUCUGAGAGGACGAUCAGCCACACUGGGACUGAGACACGGCCCAGACUCCUACGGGAGGCAGCAGUGGGGAAUUUUGGACAAUGGGGGCAACCAUGAUCCAGCAAUGCCGCGUGAGUGAAGAAGGCCUGCGGGUUGUAAAGCUCUUUUGUCAGGGAAGAAACACCGGCUCUAACACAGUCCGGGAAUGACGGUACCUGAAGAAUAAGCACCGGCUAACUACGUGCCAGCAGCCGCAGUAA
RNAcentral lists this ribosomal RNA (501 nucleotides) under uncultured bacterium. Its description in RNAcentral is "partial 16S ribosomal RNA". It matches the Rfam family "Bacterial small subunit ribosomal RNA", at positions 29 to 523 of the family's 1533-position model. The record is from RNAcentral.